UGCAACCCGGCUCCGUGAAGCUGGAUUCGCUAGUAAUCGCGCAUCAGCCAUGGCGCGGUGAAUACGUUCCCGGGCCUUGUACACACCGCCCGUCAAGCCAUGGGAGCCGGGGGCGCCUGAAGUGCGGUACCGCGAGGGCCGCCCAAGGGCGAGACCGGUGACUGGGGCUAAGUCGUAACAAGGUACC
This 187-nucleotide ribosomal RNA is filed under the name uncultured bacterium. Its description in RNAcentral is "partial 16S ribosomal RNA". It matches the Rfam family "Bacterial small subunit ribosomal RNA", at positions 1306 to 1500 of the family's 1533-position model. The record is from RNAcentral.